GAGGCAGCACAUAAACACAACUGAUGGAUGGAAGAGGAAGAUGACUGUUCAGAAAUGCUCAAUUAAAAAGAAAUCCAGUACUGUGUUGCAAUGCUUAUUAAAAUUCUGUGGAAACAGUUGUAAUGCCCAAACCAGCUGAGAAGUCCAGGCAAAUAUUAAGUAUUUGAAUUCACUGAAUAAUUAUGAGUCUAGGCCUUUCUUCCCUUCUUUUAUCCAUGUUGGCAAAGUGCUCCAGGACCACCUUAUUCUACAGAAAUACAUGCUGAACACCAUGGCCGUGGGAGUGCAGAAGGAGCACGGAGCUUGUUUUAAGCCAGGACUCCCUGCUGGAGUACAUAGGAGAGGCCCAGAUGGGGGCAGCUGUCGAGGCAGUGAUGUAUGACAAAUGACUUGCUGCUGCAAUGGAUCAUCAGAGGCUGGCUACACUGGUGACAUGUCACAGUCAUACAUCAUCAGAGCAGUGCCUGGCAGGGGCAGCGGCCUGAAAACCACCCUGCCCCAUAAAUUUUAAUACAGCCAAA
Long non-coding RNA from Sapajus apella (tufted capuchin), 521 nucleotides. RefSeq lists it as uncharacterized. The record is from RefSeq and is a predicted model, not a curated record. NCBI's taxonomy places the organism in Eukaryota, Metazoa, Chordata, Mammalia, Primates, Cebidae. The transcript has 2 exons.